CAAAGGCUUGGUCCUGACUUUACUAUCAGUUUUAGCCUAACUUAUACAUGCAAGUAUCCGCACCCCUGUGAGAAUGCCCUACAGUUCCCUGCUAGGGAACAAGGAGCCGGUAUCAGGCACAUAAACUUAAGCCCACGACACCUUGCUCAUAGCCACACCCCCAAGGGGACCCAGCAGUGAUAAAUAUUAAGCAAUAAGUGAAAACUUGACUUAGCCAAGGCUAAGAGGGCCGGUAAAAGUCGUGCCAGCCACCGCGGUUAUACGAAAGGCCCAAAUUGAUAGAUGUCGGCGUAAAGGGUGGUUACGAUUUAUUUGAAAUAAAGCCAAAUGCCUUCAAAGCUGUAAUACGCACCCGAAGGUAAGAAGCCCAACUACGAAAGUGGCUUUACAAAAUCGGACCCCACGAAAGCUGUGACACAAACUGGGAUUAGAUACCCCACUAUGCCCAGCUGUAAACUAUGAUAAUGAACUACCCCCAUUAUCCGCCCGGGAACUACAAGCGCAAGCUUAAAACCCAAAGGACUUGGCGGUGCUUAAGAUCCACCUAGAGGAGCCUGUUCUAGAACCGAUGACCCCCGUUCAACCUCACCCUUUCUUGUUGUCCCCGCCUAUAUACCACCGUCGUCAGCUUACCCUGUGAAGGCCAAAUAGUAAGCAAAAUUGGCACAACCCAAAACGUCAGGUCGAGGUGUAGCGAAUGAAAGGGGAAGAAAUGGGCUACAUUCCCUAACAAAGUGCAUACGGAUAGUACAUUGAAACAUGUGCUUGAAGGAGGAUUUAGCAGUAAGUGCAAAAUAGAGCGUUGCACUGAAACUGGCCCUAAAGCGCGCACACACCGCCCGUCACUCUCCCCAAACUAAUAAACUAAAUAAUUAAACCCCCAUUAAAAACAAAGGGGAGGCAAGUCGUAACAUGGUAAGUGUACCGGAAGGUGUACUUGGUAAAAAU
Molecule: non-coding RNA, 948 nt
Filed under: Centrophryne spinulosa
Lineage: Eukaryota; Metazoa; Chordata; Actinopteri; Lophiiformes; Centrophrynidae
Description: 12S rRNA
Rfam family: Bacterial small subunit ribosomal RNA
Source: RNAcentral